RNAcentral lists this ribosomal RNA (467 nucleotides) under uncultured bacterium. Its description in RNAcentral is "partial 16S ribosomal RNA". It matches the Rfam family "Bacterial small subunit ribosomal RNA", at positions 28 to 523 of the family's 1533-position model. The record is from RNAcentral.
GACGAACGCUGGCGGCGUGCUUAACACAUGCAAGUCGAGCGAGAAACUUCGGUUUCUAGCGGCGGACGGGUGAGUAACACGUGGGCAACCUGCCUCACAAUGGGGGAUAGCCUUCCGAAAGGAAGAUUAAUACCGCAUAACACAAAGGAAACGCAUGUUUCUUUUGCCAAAGAAUUUCGUUGUGGGAUGGGCCCGCGGCGCAUUAGCUUGUUGGUGAGGUAACGGCUCACCAAGGCGACGAUGCGUAGCCGACCUGAGAGGGUGAUCGGCCACAUUGGAACUGAGACACGGUCCAGACUCCUACGGGAGGCAGCAGUGGGGAAUAUUGCACAAUGGAGGAAACUCUGAUGCAGCAACGCCGCGUGAGUGAUGAAGGUCUUCGGAUUGUAAAACUCUGUCUUCUGGGGCGAUAAUGACGGUACCAGAGGAGGAAGCCACGGCUAACUACGUGCCAGCCGCCGCCGUAA